UACGGGGGGAGCAAGCGUUGUUCGGAUUUACUGGGCGUAAAGGGCGCGUAGGCGGCGCAACAAGUCACUUGUGAAAUCUCUGGGCUUAACCCAGCAGCGGUCAAGUGAUACUGUCGUGCUAGAGUGCGGAAGGGGCAACUGGAAUUCUCGGUGUAGCGGUGAAAUGCGUAGAUAUCGAGAGGAACACCUGCGGCGAAGGCGGGUUGCUGGGCCGACACUGACGCUGAGGCGCGAAAGCUAGGGGAGCGAACGGG
RNAcentral lists this ribosomal RNA (254 nucleotides) under uncultured bacterium. Its description in RNAcentral is "partial 16S ribosomal RNA". It matches the Rfam family "Bacterial small subunit ribosomal RNA", at positions 524 to 776 of the family's 1533-position model. The record is from RNAcentral.